CAAGUUCAGUCAAUGUAAAGCCUUAACAUUGUAAAGAAGCAGCAAAAAAAAAAAAAAAAUUAUUUAUCACACAAGUUUUUUUUUUGUUUUUGUCCUCCUACAAGUUUUGUUUUCUUCCUUUUUUUUGUCAAUAGAAAGCAAGAUUUAUUGCUCCUGUGAAUUUUAAUUCUUCUUCUUAUAAAAAAAAAAAAAAAAAAAAACAGUGUCAAAAAUUAAUAAACAGUUUUUUCAAAAAUUUUCCCGCUGCUAAUAAAAAAAUUAAGAAAGUAUAUCGUUGUUCAGGCGAUUUAUUUGCAUAAUUAUUAAAAAAAUGGUGGGGGCAACGGUGACACCAAAAAGAAAAAGUUCCAUAAAAAUGCCAUCGCCAGCGCAUGAGACACAAAAUAUUCUCAUGACUUAUUUGAUUCUUAUUCUACUGCUAAUAUCGCUCUAUUUACUAUACUCCGGAUUAUUUUAGUUCCAGGACAUUUUUCGUUAUGGGUUAAGUAAAUGAUGUUCAAGUGAAUGGAAAGCUUGUCUUUUUGCCAAAAGAAAAAGAUGAGCAUCACAGGGCAAGACCUCCAAGAGGUGAAGAGAAUAAAUAUAUAUAUACAUUGUAUGUUAUCGUCAUCAUCGUUAAAAUAUAUAUUUCAUGUUUUUUAUAA
Leptopilina heterotoma is the source of this 644-nucleotide long non-coding RNA. RefSeq lists it as uncharacterized. Lineage: Eukaryota; Metazoa; Arthropoda; Insecta; Hymenoptera; Figitidae. The transcript has 3 exons. The record is from RefSeq and is a predicted model, not a curated record.